UACGUAGGGGGCAAGCGUUGUCCGGAGUUACUGGGCGUAAAGCGCUCGCAGGCGGUGUUCGGCGUCCGCAGUGCCAGCUCUGUGCUUCACACAGGGAGUGCUGCGGAAACGGGAACACUUGAGGGCCAGAGAGGGACAUGGAACUCCGGGUGGAGUGGUGAAAUGCGUAGAGAUCCGGAAGAACACCAAAGGCGAAGGCAGUGUCCUGGCUGGCUCCUGACGCUGAGGAGCGAGAGCUAGGGGAGCGAACAGG
Molecule: ribosomal RNA, 253 nt
Filed under: uncultured Ktedonobacter sp.
Lineage: Bacteria; Bacillati; Chloroflexota; Ktedonobacteria; Ktedonobacterales; Ktedonobacteraceae
Description: partial 16S ribosomal RNA
Rfam family: Bacterial small subunit ribosomal RNA
Source: RNAcentral